RNAcentral lists this ribosomal RNA (483 nucleotides) under uncultured bacterium. RNAcentral describes it as "partial 16S ribosomal RNA". It matches the Rfam family "Bacterial small subunit ribosomal RNA", at positions 29 to 506 of the family's 1533-position model. The record is from RNAcentral.
AUUGAACGCUAGCGGGAUGCUUUACACAUGCAAGUCGAACGGCAGCGCGGACUUCGGUCUGGCGGCGAGUGGCGAACGGGUGAGUAAUGUAUCGGAACGUGCCCAGUAGCGGGGGAUAACUACGCGAAAGCGUAGCUAAUACCGCAUACGCCCUACGGGGGAAAGCAGGGGAUCGUAAGACCUUGCACUAUUGGAGCGGCCGAUAUCGGAUUAGCUAGUUGGUGAGGUAACGGCUCACCAAGGCGACGAUCCGUAGCUGGUUUGAGAGGACGACCAGCCAACGGGGGAGUGAGACACGGCCGCGACCCCUAGGGGAGGCCGCAGGGGGAAAUUUUGGAAAAGGGGGGCAACCCUGUGCCAACCACCCCACGGGUGGGAUGAAGGCCUUCGGGUUGAAAAGACCUUUUGGGAGGAAAGAAACGUCGCGGGCUAAAACCCCGUGGAAAGGAGGGGACCGGCAGAAUAAGCCCCGGCGAACUAAGU